Molecule: ribosomal RNA, 2928 nt
Filed under: Salmonella enterica subsp. enterica serovar Havana
Lineage: Bacteria; Pseudomonadati; Pseudomonadota; Gammaproteobacteria; Enterobacterales; Enterobacteriaceae
Description: 23S ribosomal RNA
Rfam family: Bacterial large subunit ribosomal RNA
Source: RNAcentral
GGGUUGUGAGGUUAAGCGACUAAGCGUACACGGUGGAUGCCCUGGCAGUCAGAGGCGAUGAAGGGCGUGCUAAUCUGCGAUAAGCGCCGGUAAGGUGAUAUGAACCGUUAUAACCGGCGAUACCCGAAUGGGGAAACCCAGUGUGAUUCGUCACACUAUCAUUAACUGAAUCCAUAGGUUAAUGAGGCGAACCGGGGGAACUGAAACAUCUAAGUACCCCGAGGAAAAGAAAUCAACCGAGAUUCCCCCAGUAGCGGCGAGCGAACGGGGAGGAGCCCAGAGCCUGAAUCAGCAUGUGUGUUAGUGGAAGCGUCUGGAAAGGCGCGCGAUACAGGGUGACAGCCCCGUACACAAAAGCGCAUGUGCUGUGAGCUCGAUGAGUAGGGCGGGACACGUGGUAUCCUGUCUGAAUAUGGGGGGACCAUCCUCCAAGGCUAAAUACUCCUGACUGACCGAUAGUGAACCAGUACCGUGAGGGAAAGGCGAAAAGAACCCCGGCGAGGGGAGUGAAAAAGAACCUGAAACCGUGUACGUACAAGCAGUGGGAGCACAGGUUUACCUGUGUGACUGCGUACCUUUUGUAUAAUGGGUCAGCGACUUAUAUUCUGUAGCAAGGUUAACCGAAUAGGGGAGCCGGAGGGAAACCGAGUCUUAAUUGGGCGUUAAGUUGCAGGGUAUAGACCCGAAACCCGGUGAUCUAGCCAUGGGCAGGUUGAAGGUUGGGUAACACUAACUGGAGGACCGAACCGACUAAUGUUGAAAAAUUAGCGGAUGACCUGUGGCUGGGGGUGAAAGGCCAAUCAAACCGGGAGAUAGCUGGUUCUCCCCGAAAGCUAUUUAGGUAGCGCCUCGUGAACUCAUCUCCGGGGGUAGAGCACUGUUUCGGCUAGGGGGCCAUCCCGGCUUACCAACCCGAUGCAAACUGCGAAUACCGGAGAAUGUUAUCACGGGAGACACACGGCGGGUGCUAACGUCCGUCGUGAAGAGGGAAACAACCCAGACCGCCAGCUAAGGUCCCAAAGUCAUGGUUAAGUGGGAAACGAUGUGGGAAGGCCCAGACAGCCAGGAUGUUGGCUUAGAAGCAGCCAUCAUUUAAAGAAAGCGUAAUAGCUCACUGGUCGAGUCGGCCUGCGCGGAAGAUGUAACGGGGCUAAACCAUGCACCGAAGCUGCGGCAGCGACACUGUGUGUUGUUGGGUAGGGGAGCGUUCUGUAAGCCUGUGAAGGUGGCCUGUGAGGGUUGCUGGAGGUAUCAGAAGUGCGAAUGCUGACAUAAGUAACGAUAAAGCGGGUGAAAAGCCCGCUCGCCGGAAGACCAAGGGUUCCUGUCCAACGUUAAUCGGGGCAGGGUGAGUCGACCCCUAAGGCGAGGCCGAAAGGCGUAGUCGAUGGGAAACGGGUUAAUAUUCCCGUACUUGGUGUUACUGCGAAGGGGGGACGGAGAAGGCUAUGUUGGCCGGGCGACGGUUGUCCCGGUUUAAGCGUGUAGGUGUGUGUUCCAGGUAAAUCCGGUUCACUUUAACACUGAGGCGUGAUGACGAGGCACUACGGUGCUGAAGCAACAAAUGCCCUGCUUCCAGGAAAAGCCUCUAAGCAUCAGGUAACAUCAAAUCGUACCCCAAACCGACACAGGUGGUCAGGUAGAGAAUACCAAGGCGCUUGAGAGAACUCGGGUGAAGGAACUAGGCAAAAUGGUGCCGUAACUUCGGGAGAAGGCACGCUGACACGUAGGUGAAGUGAUUUACUCAUGGAGCUGAAGUCAGUCGAAGAUACCAGCUGGCUGCAACUGUUUAUUAAAAACACAGCACUGUGCAAACACGAAAGUGGACGUAUACGGUGUGACGCCUGCCCGGUGCCGGAAGGUUAAUUGAUGGGGUCAGCGCAAGCGAAGCUCCUGAUCGAAGCCCCGGUAAACGGCGGCCGUAACUAUAACGGUCCUAAGGUAGCGAAAUUCCUUGUCGGGUAAGUUCCGACCUGCACGAAUGGCGUAAUGAUGGCCAGGCUGUCUCCACCCGAGACUCAGUGAAAUUGAACUCGCUGUGAAGAUGCAGUGUACCCGCGGCAAGACGGAAAGACCCCGUGAACCUUUACUAUAGCUUGACACUGAACAUUGAGCCUUGAUGUGUAGGAUAGGUGGGAGGCUUUGAAGUGUGGACGCCAGUCUGCAUGGAGCCGACCUUGAAAUACCACCCUUUAAUGUUUGAUGUUCUAACGUGGACCCGUAAUCCGGGUUGCGGACAGUGUCUGGUGGGUAGUUUGACUGGGGCGGUCUCCUCCUAAAGAGUAACGGAGGAGCACGAAGGUUGGCUAAUCCUGGUCGGACAUCAGGAGGUUAGUGCAAUGGCAUAAGCCAGCUUGACUGCGAGCGUGACGGCGCGAGCAGGUGCGAAAGCAGGUCAUAGUGAUCCGGUGGUUCUGAAUGGAAGGGCCAUCGCUCAACGGAUAAAAGGUACUCCGGGGAUAACAGGCUGAUACCGCCCAAGAGUUCAUAUCGACGGCGGUGUUUGGCACCUCGAUGUCGGCUCAUCACAUCCUGGGGCUGAAGUAGGUCCCAAGGGUAUGGCUGUUCGCCAUUUAAAGUGGUACGCGAGCUGGGUUUAGAACGUCGUGAGACAGUUCGGUCCCUAUCUGCCGUGGGCGCUGGAGAACUGAGGGGGGCUGCUCCUAGUACGAGAGGACCGGAGUGGACGCAUCACUGGUGUUCGGGUUGUCAUGCCAAUGGCACUGCCCGGUAGCUAAAUGCGGAAGAGAUAAGUGCUGAAAGCAUCUAAGCACGAAACUUGCCCCGAGAUGAGUUCUCCCUGAGACUUAGAGUCUCCUGAAGGAACGUUGAAGACGACGACGUUGAUAGGCCGGGUGUGUAAGCGCAGCGAUGCGUUGAGCUAACCGGUACUAAUGAACCGUGAGGCUUAACCUUACAACGCCGAAG